RNAcentral lists this unclassified non-coding RNA (3703 nucleotides) under Leishmania donovani. Its description in RNAcentral is "gene:LdHU3.36.3550(CDS-product:acid_phosphatase_p utative)". The record is from RNAcentral. Lineage: Eukaryota; Euglenozoa; Kinetoplastea; Trypanosomatida; Trypanosomatidae.
UUCUCCCUCUAUUGAGCAGGAAUCACCCAUCUAUACAGCGGCGUGGCUUUUUGGUGGUGAUGUAAGUCGGGAAUCUGGUCGAAGCGGAAAGAAGCACUUGCUGGGCUCGGCUAAGGGUCUAUGGUAGCCUGGCGCCAUCUGACUCCCCCUCCUCGCCUGCGUCCGGCCACCCACAGGCAAAGGCACGCCUUCGUCUAUUCUAUAGCUCGGCGUUGCCGUACAGCGGCGCAGCAAAGGCACAAAGCGUCGCCCCUACACAGCUCUCCGCCAUGGCCGCAAGGACGCCUCUUGCGCGCGGUGCUCUGGCACGGCGCUCGGUGCUUGUUGCUCUUCUGGUGGCCCUUGUGUUGGUGAUGAAUCUCGCGAGGCUUGUCUCAGCGUUCGGUCUCCACUCUGCGCGACGCAAUAAGCCGUCAACGGCGACUGAGACAAGUGACCCCGUGCAUCCCCGCGUGAACAUCAACUGGACGCAGCAGAGCCUGAACUCCAAUAUAACCAAGGCAGAGCGCAAGGAGAUCCUCAAGAGCAAGCUGGUGCUGACGAAGCUGGUGGUGCUCAACCGCCACGGCCACCGUGCGCCGAACGCGCCGUUCUGGAAGAUGUGCCCAAAUGACAUCAAGAGCAAGAAGCGCUACGACGUCAGUGCAGAGGACUUGACUGGGCUCGGCAUGGAGGAGGAGUACAACUUUGGCCAGUAUGUGCGAAACAACUAUCACGCCUUUAUUGGCGACAAGUUCAACCGCAUGCUGCACUACUUCCGCGCUGUUGGCGAGCCGCGCAUCUUGCAGUCGGCAAUGGCGGUGGCCCAAGGGAUCUUCCCGGAUGGAUUCGGUCCGGGCGGCUACUUGCCAUCGCGGCCGCAGUUUGUGCCCAUCUUCUCCGACAUGGACACGCACGAGUACCUGCUCGAUGACGUGCCGUGCUUCCGGCGGGCCGAGAACGACUCGCAUCGGUGGAUCGACAAGCGCUAUCAGAACUUCAUCGAUGACCCGAACACGGGUCGUGUGCUAAAGAUGAUAAAGGAGGUGUGCGGCGAGUACAUCGGCCCGGCGGAAGGCUACGCCUACAUCAAGACUGUGGCAGACGGUCUCACAUUCAACAGCGACAUCGGUCUGAAGGUGGCCAAGGGCAGGCUGACACCGGAGAUGCUGUUCAGCAUUCGCAACGUCUCGCUGCAGCUCCUCAUGCAGCGCCUGUACGACACAGAUGAGCAACAGACGUACAUGGCGGUCGACCUCCCCCGCAACAUCCUGCAGACGCUUAACCACACCCAUGUCGGAGAUACCCCGGAGCAGCUGAACGACUUCACCGACACGCGGCAGGAGUCCACCUUUUACUUUAUGCACCGUGAGGCCCUCUACGCCUUCGCGCAGUUUUUUGGGUUUCAAUACAACGUAGCUGGGUUGCCGCCAGGCGAGUUGCCCGUGGCGUCCUCUAUCAUUAUGGAGAAGCUCGUGCCUCAUCGCGACCAGUACUCCCACAACGCCUCCCGCAUCUACGUUCGCAUAACGCUAUGGACGCCGUACAAUGGCAUCUACACAAUACCCAUAUCCACCUGCCGUAUCCCCGAGCUGUGUGAGCUGAAGGAACUGCGGUACAUCCACGACACCCGCGUGAGCCGCACGGGUACAUGGGAGCAGCUGUGCAACUACGCGCCGCAAGAAAUCGAUCACACAACGGAUAUUCGUUGACGACAAGGAAGUUAAAGGGAAAGAGAAAUGGUAGUGUCCGAAGCAGCGCGAUUGGAAAGCGAGCUGGGGAGAAGGGGAUAGCGUGGGCAGCGUACUGUGUUUCUGUGCUGGGUGUGGUCAUCAUGCUUUUUUUUCGCUGUUGUGUGGGUGCUACCCGCUCAAGCGUUCAUCCACUCCCCCUCCCCUACACCCACGUGCCUCCGCGCCCAGCGUGUAGGGUUGUGGGCUGUGUGGCCUUUUUUGUUUUUCUGCUUUGGUUUUUUGUUCGCUACACCAGCUCAGCUUGCUGCAUCGAUCCGUUCUCCCCUCUCUUUUCUUUGUUACUUUUAUUGCCCUUAGCCUGGGUGCUUCCCAUGCUUCUUUCUUCAUUCUUUUAUCUGUUCCCCACCACCACCACCCUCGUUGACUGUUUUCUCCCUUUAUUCUUCUGGCCUUGCAGCUCCUUAUCGAUCACAAGCACCCUGUUACCCUUUUUGUCGUCCAUCGCCCCGCUUCGCAGCGCAUUUUCCCUUCCUCCCCUCACCCGUGCUCAUUUUAUGCACGGACGGCGACAGGCAAGACGUCAAGCGCCAACGCGUUUUGCUGUCGUGCUUGUGGAGAUUCAUUCUCCUAUCUGCUGCUCUGUAGAGCCCGGCUUACACUGUGUCGUCUACUUUGUAGGCAAGAGGGUAUAAACAACGAAAAUGGGGAUUCGGGUAAGAGGAGCAUAGUAAGACUCAAGUCGUCUUGGUGUGUUUUUUCGUCUGCGAUGCACGUAUUGCCUACACCUGUGAGUGGUGUAUUCGUUACUGACCUUUGGGGGGCCUGUGUAUGUGUGUGUGUGUGUGUGUGGUGAUCGUGCUGUGUCUAAGUCUCAAAAGGGUCUUGGAGCCGAACACGAGCGCGUAAAGGCAGACACAAAUCGUGCCUUUUUUGUUUCUCGCCGCUUCUUCACCCGCCCUCGUCCAUCCCUUCGUUGGAAAGGGGAUUCGUACGCGUGUCUGUGUGUAUGUGUAUGUCUUUGAGGCGCCUCAAAUGAGGUAGAGAGACUGCACGUGUAUGUUUGCCGGUUGAUGUAUGUUGAUGUACACGGGGGGAAGGAAGGGGUGAGGACACACUCCUUCCACGCGCACUUUCCACUUCCGCCCCCCCCCCUCCAAGCCCCGCCCAUAUCACGUAUCAAUGAAGCGAAGGAAUGGAUGUGGAGAAAGAUGAUCGAUGGCACAGCGAAGAAAAACUAACCGAAAAAGCAGAAGUAGCUCGAGCAACAAAACGAAAACAAACGAAGAGAAGCACAAUGGUGGAAGAAGAGUUGACGUGCACAUGCGCGUGCACUGUAGAGCAUCGUUGUUUUUUGGGGGAGGGGAGAGGGGGGGUCUUCUGCCCUCAGGAAUCAGGUUCGAAGAACAGAAAGAAAGAGCGAGCGAGACCUCCACGUUAACUCCCCGAUCCUCUCCCCCCCCACGCCGUACGCCUUGCGAACCCUCUCAUGAGGAACAACUCCCACCGUGGGCAGCAUUCUCUUGUCUCCCUUCGACGCUUGACUAGCAAGGCAUCAUGUGACUUGCCUUUAUCUUUUUCUUUCUCAACGGCACGUUGAGCCACGAGCAGCUCAACAGUUAUACGCAUACACAGAUGCAGCUCACCUACCUCUUUUGCACCGCAGCGACCUCCACGAACCGGGCCAACCAACACUGCUUGGAGUCGUUCCGUCCCCUGCAGUUCCAGUGCAUGCAGCGCAGGCUAGGCACAGGAUUAAGCCCGACAUCACCGCAACGAAGCACACGGAGAAAAAAAAGCAGCAGACGGAUGCGCAUAUUUGCCGGAGCGUCGGCACAGCUCGGAGUGAGCUGGUCCAAUCCUCAUCAUGGCCGCAAGUCUCUUUGGCACAGCGCCAGCCCAGACUUGUCUGCCGGCACCAGGAGUCCGCAGCCGUACCCGAGGGCAGGCGGUGCAGGCUCGUGGCGGUCCUACAGUGUGGGCACUCUACCCCGAUACCACGGUCGGGUGGCCGGCAUCAUCAGGGUUGCCGU